GCAGGGGUGGGUGAGUGGUUAAUACCACCAGACUGUAAAUCUGGCGCCCGGAAGGGCUUCGUAGGUUCGAAUCCUACCCCCUGCACCA
This 88-nucleotide transfer RNA is filed under the name SAR202 cluster bacterium Io17-Chloro-G3. RNAcentral describes it as "tRNA-Tyr". It matches the Rfam family "tRNA". From Rfam's summary of the family: Transfer RNA (tRNA) molecules are approximately 80 nucleotides in length. The record is from RNAcentral. Lineage: Bacteria; Bacillati; Chloroflexota; Dehalococcoidia.